GAGACAGCAAUAAUAGCAGACGAACCCCCCUGAGCCUCGUUUUGGACGGAACCAAAUACCCGGAUGUUGACAUUCCGAAAAGGUGAUCGAAAGUUGCUGUAAGAAAAUUGUUGUCAUAUAGGCCUAGUCCAGUGAUUUGAAACCCGAGAACUGUGACAGCAAAUGUGGCUAGAAAAGAUGUGUCCCCCAUGACAGAAGUAUUGCUAGAAAGAUUUCUGCGCCAUGCCAGAAAUGUCACAGUGGGUGUGACAAAAAAUUUAUGUGUAAUUGUUGGAAAUCAUUAACAUGAUAAUUUGGGUGUUUUUUUGUUACAAGUGAAGGAAAAAACAAUAUUUAUUUUUCGUUUGUUAGCCACAAAGCUGGUUAUGGUCUAUCGUUUGAAUGCACAUUACUACCCAUCUUGAAGGAAAUAUAAUUUCUAUAUUUCUUUUGUUAGCCAGAAAACUGGUUAUAGUCUAGCGUUUGACCUACACAUUACUACCCAUCUUACGCAAUAUAUUGUUACAUUUUCUAUGCUAGUACGAAACCUGAUUUUCGUCUUGUUGCGGCGAUAGCACCUAUGGUUUUAAAAAAGAUGUCCCAUUUGCAAUUUUGAAAAAAAAACCUCCACCAAAAUCCACAUAAUUUUUACAUUAACUUUCUUAGUUCUUUUUUUGUAUCUUAAUGUCAAUAAAAAAAUGUAAAAUCUA
Patella vulgata (common limpet) is the source of this 689-nucleotide long non-coding RNA. RefSeq lists it as uncharacterized. The transcript has 6 exons. Lineage: Eukaryota; Metazoa; Mollusca; Gastropoda; Patellidae. The record is from RefSeq and is a predicted model, not a curated record.